GAGGUGAAGAUACGCAGGACGUCCUCUAAAGCAACUUCCGUGGGUGCCAGGUUGUGGGCUGGGGGCGGUGCUGACCUUGAGAGAGCGGAGGAGGCGCAGGCGCAGCACAGGUACGUGGGCGGGCGGAUCGUGGUGGCUGCGCUUGCGAGGACCCUGAGGUAGAUUGGGUGGUUUCAACAGGAACGCAUCCACUGUCUGAGAGUUUAAACUUGAUUUUGUGAGGGGACGAACAGCGUGACAAUUAAAAGAAGAUCUGGGAAUCAAAAGCUUCCUGAGGCCUUCACCAGAAGCAGAUGCUGGUGCCGUGCUUCUACAGCCUGCAGAACUGAAGGACUUUACAGCUUCUCUUUCGCAUAUCCAAAUUGCCAGCAUCACCGCUCUUGCACUCCAAGCCAUUAUUAAGUAAAGUAAAGAACACAAACACUGUGAUACUGCUACACUUGAUCUGAUAACCAAGAAGUCUACUAAGUGACUAACAGCAGAGCAACUGGGAACCUAAUUCUGACCAAAAAGGAGGAAUUGUUUGGCUAAUUGGAAGUGACAGAAACCUUGGGAGAAAGCAACCGCAUACCAAGGAUAAUUAUAAGAAGAAGAGAAGACAUGGAGAAGAGGAGGGAGUAGUUGUGACCGUGGAGGCAGAGAAUGGAGUAAUGUGAUCAUAAAUCAAGGAAUGCUGACAGCCACUAAAGCUGGAGAAGGCCAAGGACAGAUAUUCAAUCCUCCCGUAGAAGUACAGCCCUGCUAAUGCAUUGAUUUUGGACUUCUGGCCUCAGAACUGUCUGGAAAGCAUGGAAAUUUGUAUCUUCAUUCACUUUUGUUUUCAUGGACUCUUUUCAUGUUUGAACUUUUCAUGAUCCAAUGUGAUAAUUUAUGUGAAAUCUUUCUGCAAACUAUACAGUAUGAUAAAAAUAUAAGGUAGUUUCACUGGAAACAACAGAAGACUAGAAGCUGAUGUGACGUGGCAAUAUCAACCAGGAAUACCCAUCUCGAGUUCUGGAUAUGUGCUCUGAGAAGGUGCCCAUGUCACCGACCACACUGGAGGCCAAUGCAGAUACUGGGGGAAGGUUCCAUGGUAGCUAAGUGUGGACAAGCUAAUCACUGAAGUUCCCUGAUGCAGAGUUGAUAAUCUCUCUAGAGUUGGAUGAAAGACUGUGCUGCCUUGAAGCUCUGAGAGAUGCCAUGCCAAUUCAAGGCAGGGUCUUUAUUGUUGAAACUCUUGCGUAAUGACAUCUUUAUUCAGGUGAAAAUACAGGAUGAAUUUCAACUAUAUGAUAUUGUUUAUGUUCCUCAGACAUGUUAUUUGUCUUUACAAAGAUUGGUUUCAAUAAACUGUGUGACUGAUAUUAAAUAAACAUGGAAUUUUACACAUUCAUAAU
This 1376-nucleotide long non-coding RNA is filed under the name Homo sapiens (human). Its description in RNAcentral is "HSALNT0327917". Lineage: Eukaryota; Metazoa; Chordata; Mammalia; Primates; Hominidae. The record is from RNAcentral.